GACGAACGCUGGCGGCGUGCUUAACACAUGCAAGUCGAGCGGUAAGGCCCUUUCGGGGGUACACGAGCGGCGAACGGGUGAGUAACACGUGGGUGACCUGCCCUCAGCUUUGGGAUAAGCCCGGGAAACUGGGUCUAAUACUGGAUAUGACUCCAUGACGCAUGUUGUGGGGUGGAAAGCCUUGUGCGGCUGGGGAUGGGCCCGCGGCCUAUCAGCUUGUUGGUGGGGUGACGGCCUACCAAGGCGACGACGGGUAGCCGGCCUGAGAGGGCGACCGGCCACACUGGGACUGAGACACGGCCCAGACUCCUACGGGAGGCAGCAGGUGGGGAAUCUUGCGCAAUGGGCGAAAGCCUGACGCAGCGACGCUGCGUGA
Molecule: ribosomal RNA, 376 nt
Filed under: uncultured bacterium
Lineage: Bacteria
Description: bacterial SSU rRNA
Rfam family: Bacterial small subunit ribosomal RNA
Source: RNAcentral